This 468-nucleotide ribosomal RNA is filed under the name uncultured bacterium. RNAcentral describes it as "partial 16S ribosomal RNA". It matches the Rfam family "Bacterial small subunit ribosomal RNA", at positions 28 to 507 of the family's 1533-position model. The record is from RNAcentral.
GACGAACGCUGGCGGCGCGCCUAACACAUGCAAGUCGAACGGAGCUGAGAGAAGCUUGCUUUUCUUAGCUUAGUGGCGAACGGGUGAGUAACGCGUGAGUAACCUGCCCUGGAGUGGGGGACAACAGUUGGAAACGACUGCUAAUACCGCAUAAGCCCACGAUCCGGCAUCGGAUUGAGGGAAAAGGAUUUAUUCGCUUCAGGAUGGACUCGCGUCCAAUUAGCUAGUUGGUGAGGUAACGGCCCACCAAGGCGACGAUUGGUAGCCGGACUGAGAGGUUGAGCGGCCACAUUGGGACUGAGACACGGCCCAGACUCCUACGGGAGGCAGCAGUGGGGGAUAUUGCACAAUGGGGGAAACCCUGAUGCAGCGACGCCGCGUGAAGGAAGAAGGUUUUCGGAUUGUAAACUCCUGUCGUUAGGGACGAUAAUGACGGUACCUAACAAGAAAGCACCGGCUAACUACGUG